RNAcentral lists this unclassified non-coding RNA (389 nucleotides) under fungal sp. RNAcentral's name for it is "partial internal transcribed spacer region". The stretch from base 1 to 46 matches the Rfam family "Eukaryotic small subunit ribosomal RNA", at positions 1786 to 1831 of the family's 1831-position model. The record is from RNAcentral. Lineage: Eukaryota; Fungi.
AAGUCGUAACAAGGUUUCCGUAGGUGAACCUGCGGAAGGAUCAUUAACACGUAUCCACGUAUCAACCAAUGAGAAUUGUUUUCACCUCUCCCUAUGCUGAGAAUGAAUUGGAACUUGAUAUAGGCCAUAAAUGGGGCAGCCGCAAGGCGCCAACCUAUAGAAGUCACUUAUUAAAGAGAAAUUUUUAAUAGACAAUUGUAUUUCAGCAUUAGGCUUCGUCUUUCUAAUUUGAUCUCCAUUUAUGAUCGUGUUAGAGGGACACAUAUUUACCUAUUUCACCCUUUUUUGCUAGUUGACUUUUAUAUGUUGUUCUUUGCGCAAGCAAGGUUCACACGUUUAAUUAUUUGAACGUUAAAAUACAACUCUUAGCAAUGGAUAUCUUGGUUCUC